GCGCUCCCUUCGGCAGCCCACAUACUAAAAUUGGAAUGAUGAGAGGCUCCUGCGCAAGGAUUACACACAAAUCUGUGAAGCAUUCCAUAUUUUU
RNAcentral lists this small nuclear RNA (94 nucleotides) under Meriones unguiculatus (Mongolian gerbil). Lineage: Eukaryota; Metazoa; Chordata; Mammalia; Rodentia; Muridae. The record is from RNAcentral.